CCUACGGGGGGCAGCAGUGAGGAAUAUUGGUCAAUGGCCGAGAGGCUGAACCAGCCAAGUCGCGUGAGGGAAGAAUGUCCUAUGGAUUGUAAACCUCUUUUGUCAGGGAGCAAAGUCCGCCACGCGUGGGUGUUGGAGAGUACCUGAAGAAAAAGCAUCGGCUAACUCCGUGCCAGCAGCCGCGGUAAUACGGAGGAUGCGAGCGUUAAGCGGAAUUACUGGGGGUAAAGGGCUCGUAGGCGGUAUGGCAAGUCAAGGGUGAAAUCCCCGGGCUCAACGGUGGCACUGCCUUUGAAACUGGCAAACUGGAGUGUGUGAGAGGUUAGUGGAAUUCCAGGUGUAGCAGUGAAAUCCGUAGAUAUCUGGAGGAACAUCAGUGGCGAAGGCGACUAGCUGGCACAAAACUGACGCUGAGGAGCGAAAGCGUGGGUAGCAAACAGGAUUAGAUACCCGGGUAGUC
This 460-nucleotide ribosomal RNA is filed under the name uncultured bacterium. Its description in RNAcentral is "partial 16S ribosomal RNA". It matches the Rfam family "Bacterial small subunit ribosomal RNA", at positions 338 to 795 of the family's 1533-position model. The record is from RNAcentral.